AUCUUAGUGCAGUUUGAGUAUGCAUGAGAGAUUACAAUUGGCAUCGUUUGUCUCAGCAGAUAUUUAAGGCUUUAGAAGUCAUUAUUUCUGGCCUGCUAAGUGAGUUUAUGAGAUCUACUUCUCUAGAAAUUACAGUGGACAAAGGACCAUUUUGUAUUGUUUCCUGGCUACUCAUCUGAUUACACUGUGCGUGCUAAUACACUCUCUUCUUUUUGUUAUCGAUUGUCUUAACAGUAGGUCAAGUAAUAAAAAAGAUUAAAUAAGCAGAUAUGCAAGUUGGAACUUUUGGUUAGACUCUCAGGCAAGUUUUAAAAGCACAAGGUCAUUUAAAAAUGAGAUUUAGAAAUUAAAUCACUUUAAAUAGAAGGACUUUGGUAUCCCGAGAAGGUAUAUUAUUUGAGGUAACGGAUGAAAAUAUGAAGUGAAUAUAAAUCCAGAGGAGGUGUGAAUUCUAUAAAAGAGCAAGUCCCUAGAGGGAAAGCUUAGUGUCACAUUGUGGUUUGGGUCCGUGACUUAGGAAGCAAGCUUUACUUUUCUCU
RNAcentral lists this long non-coding RNA (539 nucleotides) under Bos taurus (domestic cattle). RNAcentral's name for it is "long non-coding RNA NONBTAT025048". The record is from RNAcentral. Lineage: Eukaryota; Metazoa; Chordata; Mammalia; Artiodactyla; Bovidae.